CUCCUUUGACGUUAGCGGCGGACGGGUGAGUAACACGUGGGUAACCUACCUAUAAGACUGGGAUAACUUCGGGAAACCGGGGCUAAUACCGGAUAAUAUUUCGAACCGCAUGGUUCGAUAGUGAAAGAUGGUUUUGCUAUCACUUAUAGAUGGACCCGCGCCGUAUUAGCUAGUUGGUAAGGUAACGGCUUACCAAGGCGACGAUACGUAGCCGACCUGAGAGGGUGAUCGGCCACACUGGAACUGAGACACGGUCCAGACUCCUACGGGAGGCAGCAGGC
Molecule: ribosomal RNA, 281 nt
Filed under: uncultured Staphylococcus sp.
Lineage: Bacteria; Bacillati; Bacillota; Bacilli; Caryophanales; Staphylococcaceae
Description: partial 16S ribosomal RNA
Rfam family: Bacterial small subunit ribosomal RNA
Source: RNAcentral